AGCAUCUCAUGCAUUCUUUUAGCAUUUAAUUUAUUAUGCAUCUCAUCUCAUUGGUAAGUAAUCUCAACUACAUAGUAUGUUUCAAGCAUUCAUAUCAUUAUGUAAGCCUACCAAUACAACUAUAUGCAUCAAUUAGAAAACCAUUACUCUUAGACAUAUAGGCGACCUAGUCGCUUCGGUGAGCACAACCCACCUCAUUUCGCAUUCCGAUUGCUUGUCGACACUUGCAAUCAGCCUCCAGCGGCACCCGGCACCCGGUUUGACCCGAUCUCUCGCGCGACCACCCGAACGGCCUCCAAUUCACGAUCCGAAAAUUAAAGGUCUUCGGUUAUGUGCCACGAUGCUUCAAAUCCGUUUUUAUGAGGUUACGAUAUCGCCUCGGCCCUCCAGGCGAAAACGAAGCCUAAACGUCUGUUUCUUUAAUAACUUCGCAACGACUCCACGAAUCGCCGAACCGACUUCGCCAACGCGUUCGUUUACCUAGCAAUUAAGUUUACGAAGGGUCAAAUUAGAUCAAACCUCCAUAUUUUACAAAACUCCAUUUUUGAGCCCUAACAUGAAUUAACCUCCAAAUAAUCCAAAUUAAAUGGAGCAAUAUGCUAACAAUGCUCAUUAGAGGCUAUUAGAACACUUAAAGCUAAGGAUUAAGCCAAAUUCCAAAAGCUUACUACAAUGUGAACGCCGCGACGAAAACACGCCGCUCCAACGGGCGCACGAAAGCUCGAUCCGUCGCUCCCAACGCGUUCGCGAGCAUCUUCUCCACCAACGCCGCGAAUUUGAGCGAGAGAUUUGGAGAGAUAAGAGAGAAAUCUACAGAGAGAAGGGAGGGUUUUUCCUCUCCCUCCAUGCGUGCGUGAGUGGUAGGGUGGGCUGGUCGGUUGAGGAAGAAGAAGCAUCAGCUUCUUUAAUAACUACACCCUUCAACACUAUUCACUCCAGGGCAGUUUAGCAGUUCGGAACAGUUGGAGCCCUUCUGAGUGUCCGUUUGAGCUCAAAUUUGACAGGCAGGCUCGGUUUAAUGUACUGAGUAAGAAUAUAUCUUAAGUUUUCAGUUUCGACCCCGUUUGAUCACUGAAAACUGUACCGAACUGUAAUCUUUAUCAGAUAACUGUCGGAUUUUAUUUCUCACUUUCCGGGUGUCAGAAAAAUAUGAAACUUUAAAUCUAGUCUCAUAAAAAUAUUUCUGACCUAUCCUCCAAUUUUCAUAAUUUUCUGAGACUAUACAUUUUCUGCUAAUUUAUCUGUCCCGUUUCUAACAGAAAAUUUUAGAUCUCCUGUUUUCAUUCUGAUCUCAGCACAGGUCAUUUCUGACUUAUGUUUUACUCUUCUAAAUCCAAUAAAAAUAGUAUCACACACUAUUUUUAUUUAUUUUUAUUUUUAUACCAAAAUCUGGUAUGUUACAUUCUCCACCCCUUAAAAAGAAUUUUGUCCGCGAAAUUCAAAUCACGGCUCAAUUCAUCUCCGCGAACAAUUGAGGGUACCAACUCAUUCUUCCACUCCAAAGCGGCUCCACACCAUCGUGUUUCUAAAAGCGGCUCACUCCAAAGGACAUAGGUUUAAUAUUAAACUCAUUUGCAAAGUGUGAUGCAAGAGUGCAUCACGGUCUUGCAAGUCAUAGUGGCAGCGCAAGUCGGUACUCAACGACUCUACGCGCUCCAACACCACUCGUCAUUCGGUACGCAAAAAACUCUUCUUUGCACUGGCUUUCCCCUUAGGGAAUGCCUCCCAAUUCGAUCACCGACAUUGCUUAAAAGCAAUAUCACCGGUGCAUCGCUCCGUCGCGAGUGCUCUAAAUUCGCAUUGACCCUCAACUUUAACGUGAGAUGGCCUAUCUUAGCACAUCCCCAAUUCCAAUCCUCCAACUCCACGUGGUUUACUACUAGCUCAAGGUCUCACCAAGAGCACUUCAUCUUCUGAUACCAUAUGCCACGGUCAACAUCGAACUAUUUUCGCAACGAGCUCAUGCGAGCGCCUUGUUUGUGAAUUCGAGCCAAACUCCUCGAUAAGGCUAUCCGCCAAAUCGCUCUCUUCGGUCUCCACAGGUGGACCAAAGGCCACCAAUCCUACGUAGGCCUACCGCUUAAACCUGUCUCAAUACGCAGCGUCUCUCGCUCGCAAAUGCAGACCUAAUCAUGAUCGGGCGAAAUUCUCACUUGGGAAUUCGCACAUACUCCAACCAGGAGCAACUAAAAUCCCAAACCGUUACAGAUUCCCGGGUUGGGUCACACUCGUACUCUCGGUAUACUAUCAAUCGCACGACAUGCUCUACCGAGCCACAAGUACCACUAUCGGCUACUAUGCACCUAACGCGAGUCGCCAGUCCCACGAGUGGUCCAUGGCACGCUUCACACCUAGCAUUGCUCAAGUGCUACUGCCAACUCACUCACUCGGCUGAACCCAGUUCACACUCCACGCGUAACUCUACUCGAACGUCACACGCCUCUAUAGCGCUCCACAGUAAGUCCAGCAUUAUGCAACUCUUGCCUACACUCGCCGACUUCACAAGCACGACCCUACUACCUCACAUCGGGGUACUACUAGGCCCACGUGCUAGCACUUGGCCACUAACCAAUUGUUUCGUCAACAGUGAUUCACUUUCGCUGUUAGACCCAUCAGAACGACAUCCGAAAUACUCGGACUACUCGGGUGUCCUUAAAUAUCACAGCUCAACUCUCGCAAUCUACUAAUUAAGUUGUUUUGAGAGUCGAUUAGCCACCUCUAUCUCUACCGCGAGUUUCACUUCUCGCCAAAGGUCACUACUAGCACUUCGUUAGUGCCAUCUGGCUCUAUACCUAUACUGGCAGGUACUACGCCCUCACAACACGAGCAUGCCCGGGUAUCUAUACUCACCCGUCCACUCGGUCUUCACUAUGCUCAUGCAUGGCAAUAGUAAUUAACCACAUAACCAUUGCAUGCAAUGCAUCAACUUCACAUCAUGCAAAACAUACAUUUGCAUCAAUAACUCAUACCUGCAACGACGUCGUCAGCAACAGGGUCCUCAACCUGGGUUGCGUAUCUACGGCCACCUGGCGCUCGCCGCGAACCUUUAGGUUGCAUUGUCCUCAACGCCCUCUCUCCCGACCAUGCCGCAGAUGGCACACCUGCAGGCCAUCCUAGAGAGAAAUAGGCUGUCGCCAGUGUCAGGCCCCGGCUGUCACUUUGCGGACACUCGUCCCGCGCACAGCCCGAUUGCCCACACCUGUAGCACUUGCCCUCUCACAGCUCGCAAUACUGUGGGUAACGAAAACACCCACAUACGACAUAUCUCACUAAGGACCGAAUACAGUAGGUCCCCGGAACUCGGAAUCACGAGCACGAACACAUUGCACUCACUUGAGAACUUGACGGACCAUCGAAUCCACUCGUUGGCCGUUCUAUUUCCCUUUUCCUUACAAUUGGACUCAUGCUCCCCUCGCACAAUUGCACUGCCUUAUUCUAUCCACAAGGCCUAAUCCUCAAACCUCCUCUAAUCCUCCUAUUUAGAAAAGCUCCUGGAGAGUGAGAGAAGAAAGAACAUGGAGUUGAAGGGGUACUCCUUGCUGUGAACAAGGAAAGAAGAGGUGUAGGGUUUAUACAAACCGCCACAACUGCAUUUAAACCCCCCCAGCAUUUCUCAUUUGCAGUAGAUCUCAACCUGCUGCCAGACCCAUUGUGUACCGGUACACGGGCUUUUGUACCGGUACAAAGCUGUGCAGAGGCAAACCCGAGAGCAACCUCCUCGGAUUUUACCAAAGGGUACCGGUACAAACCAGAGGUGUACCGGUACACUUCUGCAAAAACUUAAACCCGAGAGCAAUGCUCUUCUCGGGUUGCAGGGCUGUACCGGUGACAACAUGAUGGUUGUACCGGUACACUUUGCCCAGAAUGCUGGUUUUGAGCCGUUUUCGAUUCUAUUUCGCGACGGUCGAUGCUAAAACCUUCUUACCUCCUUUGAAACUCAUUUUUAACCCUUCCAACGUCGUUGAAAUGUCAAUUGGACUUUGUCCAACUAUUUCUCUCAACGCACUUUGGUCAAUUUGACUAAAGUUUGAUGUUUAUUUACCAAAAUUUCGGUACGUUACAUUCUCCCUUCCUAAAAGGAGUUUCGUUCUCAUUAUCCCGCACUAUGUCCAGGAUGCAAUUCACGACACGGGAGAAUUCCCGCUCGUAUUCCCUCACGGCGCGGUCUACCUGCCGCAGCUUCGAGAACCUUUCCUGAAGCUUUCUUUUCCAUCAUCAAGGGAGUAAACCGAGAAUACCGAUCCCCGAAACUCAUCCCAAACCACAGGAGGGAGACCAGGUAGUCGAUUCCACUCGACGCCUAUCCACCACAUCUUCGUCGCGACUCCCGGCCGUACUUAACGAGCCGUAACUGGUGCGAUCACUACUGAUCCCCCAACUCUUGGAGUCUCUUAACUCGCUCCUCCCGGCAUAUGGCAGCCUUCUGCUGACACUGCAUAAAUUCGGCUCAUUACCCCGCCACACACACGAGAGUGGCCAAUCACUCGCGAAAUCUCAAGUCUCCGCUCGUCUCAAAUUGCCCAGGGUCACCACUUGGCCCAUCCCACGCCGAUCUAAACGAAGAUCGCCGACGCAGUGUUAUCGCUUCCUAAAACGCGACAACUUUAUUAAUCCUCGACCUUCUAGGUCGAACACGAGACACUUAAUACCGACUCAAAUCGGGCGAAAGUUACACAAGGGCGUCUAUUCUCAUGACUCGGUUUCAUGUUGUGCGCGCCCAACAUGAACACCCUUUGUUGAGAAUAAACCUCUCCUUGAGUCUAGUCUACCUCAAACAUCCGCUUUAGAAGUUUACGACACAAUCCAAUCGAUUAACCUUUCGCCAAAAGGUACAAAUUCUCAUCUUUCACGAGCCUUAAUCUCCUAUGGUUUACUAUCCUAGGGUCUUCUAGAUCCAACUAAACCAUUUCUAUUAUUAUUUUUAUAUUCUUUUUAUUCUUUGAUACCAUCUUAUCUGUCACGCCCCGAGCCCGCAUAUUUGGCCGGUUUCGGGCACGCCGACAGACCGCCGAACGGACAGGGUUUCUCCGGUACCGUGGACAGAGUCUCCCCUAUACGUCCAAGGCGUCGCAAUUGAUACAAUGUACGAAGUUCCAACUAGAAACACAUUUCGAUCAAAAAUUGCAUAAGGAAGUAUCAAAAGCAUAAUCUAGUUGCUAUUACGAGCAUUCACAUUCACUAGAUACAUUUUACAUCACAAAUACUUAUUACAUUUAACUUCCAAAUACAAUCAAGAUUGUUACAACAUUGUUUAUUCUUUCCUUUUCUUUUCUUCUACAACCCUAGCUAGGCUGACUCGGGGUACCGCUAUCUCUGAUCUCGGUGGUAGGGCGCAAUCUAUGGAGCUACGCCCUCUCCUCACGCCGCCGCGCCGCUGACGUGGGAACCUGUACCCCCAAAAAUAACACGGGGGUGAGAACUAUAUGAAUAUAGUUCCCAGUGGGUACGACCACCCAAGGGAAGAGCUCGACCCACAUGUCCAAGGAGGCACUGCAACAUGUUAGUCCAACAAAUAUCCAACAGAUAUAUAUAUAUAUAUGCGAUAAUUGAAAUACAUGUCAUGCCUCACAACCAUGCAAUAUGAAAAUCAUGCGAUUUAUGCAACCAAUUAGUAGUUCAAUCGAUACUACUUUAAUCCUGCUAUUCAAAACUCAUUCUAUUGACUUCGAAAUUAUUCCGCUAUUUUAAAUUCAUAUCAAUUACAAUUCUGAUCAUAUGGUCUCAUUUAC
RNAcentral lists this long non-coding RNA (5729 nucleotides) under Ananas comosus (pineapple). Its description in RNAcentral is "long non-coding RNA (ACOM_LNC016997)". The record is from RNAcentral. Lineage: Eukaryota; Viridiplantae; Streptophyta; Magnoliopsida; Poales; Bromeliaceae.